RNAcentral lists this ribosomal RNA (424 nucleotides) under uncultured Nitrosospira sp. RNAcentral's name for it is "bacterial SSU rRNA". It matches the Rfam family "Bacterial small subunit ribosomal RNA", at positions 207 to 622 of the family's 1533-position model. Lineage: Bacteria; Pseudomonadati; Pseudomonadota; Betaproteobacteria; Nitrosomonadales; Nitrosomonadaceae. The record is from RNAcentral.
CAAGACCUUGCGCUUUUGGAGCGGCCGAUGUCUGAUUAGCUAGUUGGUGAGGUAAAGGCUUACCAAGGCGUCGAUCAGUAGCUGGUCUGAGAGGACGACCAGCCACACUGGGACUGAGACACGGCCCAGACUCCUACGGGAGGCAGCAGUGGGGAAUUUUGGACAAUGGGGGAAACCCUGAUCCAGCCAUGCCGCGUGAGUGAAGAAGGCCUUCGGGUUGUAAAGCUCUUUCAGCCGGAACGAAACGGUCACGGCUAAUAUCCGUGACAACUGACGGUACCGGAAGAAGAAGCACCGGCUAACUACGUGCCAGCAGCCGCGGUAAUACGUAGGGUGCAAGCGUUAAUCGGAAUUACUGGGCGUAAAGCGUGCGCAGGCGGUUUUGUAAGUCAGAUGUGAAAUCCCCGGGCUUAACCUGGGAACU